CCAAUAGCGUAUAUUAAAGUUGUUGCAGUUAAAAAGCUCGUAGUUGAAUUUCGGGGUCAGUAGGUCGGUCGUGCCACUGGUAUGAACUGGUUUUACUGAUUCCUCACUCUUGAAGAACUGUAAUGCCAUUAAUUUGGUGUUGCAGGGAAUCAGGACUGUUACUUUGAAAAAAUUAGAGUGUUUAAAUCAGGCUUUAGCUUGAAUACAUUAGCAUGGAAUAAUGAAAUAGGACGUUUGAUCCUAUUUUGUUGGUUUCUAGGAUUGACGUAAUGAUUAAUAGGGAUAGUUGGGGGCAUUAGUAUUCAAUUGUCAGAGGUGAAAUUCUUGGAUUUAUUGAAGACUAACUACUGCGAAAGCAUUUGCCAAGGAUGUUUUCAUUAAUCAAGAACGAAAGUUAGGGGAUCGAAGACGAUCAGAUACCGUCGUAGUCUUAACCAUAAACUAUGCCGACUAGGGAUCGGAUGAUGUUAAUUUUUUAAUGACUCAUUCGGCGCCUUACG
Molecule: ribosomal RNA, 500 nt
Filed under: uncultured Glomeromycotina
Lineage: Eukaryota; Fungi; Glomeromycota
Description: partial small subunit ribosomal RNA
Rfam family: Eukaryotic small subunit ribosomal RNA
Source: RNAcentral